Molecule: non-coding RNA, 632 nt
Organism: Caretta caretta (loggerhead turtle)
Lineage: Eukaryota; Metazoa; Chordata; Testudines; Cheloniidae
Source: RefSeq, a predicted model, not a curated record
GGGGCAUUGAGGUCAUGCCGGGGCAAGCUCUUAUCUGGAGAUUUUCAUCUGUAGAUCUCAAAGUGCUUCACACCAGAGCGGAUCUCUGAGGGGAAAACGGCGCGGCCUGGGUGCGCCAAAGUAAGCUCGUGGCUGGGGGACUAGUUUCACAUCUUCAGAAGUGACAAACAGUAGAGGAACAGUCUGAAUGUCUGAGCCAGUUAUCUCGUGACUUGCCCUUGGUGAAUCCAUGCUGACUGUUCCUGAUCACUUUCCUCUCCUCUAAGUGCUUCAGAAUUGAUUCCUUGAGGACCUGCUCCACCAUUUUUCCGGGGACUGAGGUGAGGCUGACUGGCCUGUAGUUCCCAGGAUCCUCCUUCUUCCCUUUUUUAAAGAUGGGCACUACAUUAGCCUUUUUCCAGUCGUCCGGGACUUCUGUCAGAAUGUUCUGGUUUAGUAACAUUGAAUUGUGUUGUUCCGUUUCAGAAUGUUUUAUUUUAUAUGUAACUUAGAGCUUAAUAUGUAAGUAUAAUCAUAUAGCAUCAUAGCGAAUGUCCUUUAUAAUAGAAUAGACUGGAAAAUAAAUUGGGAAAGAAAAAGUAUUUUUGGAAGGAAAAAGGAAAUGACACAAAAUUUAAUCCAAAUUGACACAA